UACGGAGGGUCCAAGCGUUAUUCGGAAUUACUGGGCGUAAAGCGCACGUAGGUGGUUUACUAAGUCAGAUGUGAAAGCCCUGGACUCAAUCCAGGAAGUGCAUUUGAUACUGGUAGACUAGAGUGCAGGAGAGGAAAGCGGAAUUCCAGGUGUAGAGGUGAAAUUCGUAGAUAUCUGGAGGAACAACAGAGGCGAAGGCGGCUUUCUGGACUGCAACUGACACUGAGGUGCGAAAGCGUGGGGAGCAAACAGG
Molecule: ribosomal RNA, 253 nt
Filed under: uncultured bacterium
Lineage: Bacteria
Also listed under: 1 other name
Description: partial 16S ribosomal RNA
Rfam family: Bacterial small subunit ribosomal RNA
Source: RNAcentral